GAUGAAGAACGCAGCGAAAUGCGAUAAGUAAUGUGAAUUGCAGAAUUCAGUGAAUCAUCGAAUCUUUGAACGCACCUUGCGCUCCUUGGUAUUCCAAAGAGCAUGCCUGUUUGAGUAUCAUUAAAUUAUCAACUGUACCAAUUUGGUUGCAGAUUGGAUGUGGGAGAUUUUGCAGGCUUUUGAUUUCUCUUUGAGAAAACGGUCAGCCCUCCUGAAAUAUAUUAGCAGUGCCUUUGUUGGUUCAUUAGGUGUGAUAAUUUAUCUACAUCUUCACAUGGUACCUUCAUUUGUGUAAAGGUCAUAUUGCUUCUAAUUGUCUUUGGACAUAAAAAAAAAAAAAACAUAUAAUUGUAUGGAAAACUUGAUCUCAAAUCAGGCAGGACUACCCGCUGAACUUAAGCAUAUCAAUAAGCGGAGGA
This 419-nucleotide unclassified non-coding RNA is filed under the name soil metagenome. RNAcentral describes it as "partial contains 5.8S ribosomal RNA, internal transcribed spacer 2, and large subunit ribosomal RNA". The stretch from base 1 to 120 matches the Rfam family "5.8S ribosomal RNA", at positions 35 to 154 of the family's 154-position model. The record is from RNAcentral.